Molecule: non-coding RNA, 562 nt
Organism: Ictidomys tridecemlineatus (thirteen-lined ground squirrel)
Lineage: Eukaryota; Metazoa; Chordata; Mammalia; Rodentia; Sciuridae
Source: RefSeq, a predicted model, not a curated record
UAACCCACAAGCCCUCCAGACCCCGUUGUCCAGAGGCAUUAUAUGGAAGUUCCAUCAUGUAAGCACGACUGAUUAAUCAUCAGACCCCUUUCCUCUCCUGAGGUUCUGCCACUCAGGAAAUUCUGAGGAUUUCAGCAGCUCCAUGCUAGGAACCUAAGGUCCGUGACAGAAUGGAAAUAGGAAAGACUCGACCUUCACAACAUACAGGCGGAGAACCAAGGAUGUGCUCCCACUGAUCAAGAGUGCAGCAGAAAUGACAAGGGACUGGAAUGCAAAUCAUGGAAAUCUAGAAGCAUUCUGCAAACGAGAUAUUUCACAAGUAUAUCAAAGAUGUAGCACUUUAGAGCAACCCAAACUGAAAUCUUGCAGACCGUGCACCCAGGUGUAGAUUAGGCUUUGGCCCUGUAUCAGAAAUUACUUGUCACCUAUAUCAGAAAUCAGCAAGUACAUGUUUUGAAUUUAAAAUAAAAUGUUUUGGAUAUGAAUAUAAAACUUUUUUUUAACAUUUCCCCACCUUAAAUAACCAACUAGAUAGUGGUUGAGGAUCCCAGAUAAGAUAACU